RNAcentral lists this ribosomal RNA (402 nucleotides) under uncultured bacterium. RNAcentral's name for it is "bacterial SSU rRNA". It matches the Rfam family "Bacterial small subunit ribosomal RNA", at positions 356 to 773 of the family's 1533-position model. The record is from RNAcentral.
GGGGAAUAUUGCGCAAUGGGCGAAAGCCUGACGCAGCCAACCCGCGUGUGUGAUGAAGGCCUUCGGGUUGUAAAGCACUGUCGUGAGGGAAGAAGUUCUGACGGUACCUCACAAGAAAGCACCGGCUAACCCCGUGCCAGCAGCCGCGGUAAUACGGGGGGUGCAAGCGUUGCUCGGAAUCACUGGGCGUAAAGCGUCCGCAGGCGGGACGGUCAGUCGAAUGUGAAAGCCCGGGGCUCAACCCCGGAACUGCGUUCGAUACUGCCGUCCUCGAGUGCGGAAGAGGUGAGCGGAAUUCCUGGUGUAGAGGUGAAAUUCGUAGAUAUCAGGAGGAACACCAGUGGCGAAAGCGGCUCCCUGGCCCGAUACUGACGCUCAUGGACGAAAGCGUGGGGAGCAAAC